UUAAAGUCUAACCUGCCCACUGAAAUUUUAAAUGGCCGCAGUAUUUUGACUGUGCAAAGGUAGCAUAAUCAUUAGUCUCUUAAUUGGAGGCUGGAAUGAAUGGUUGGACGAAAUAUUAACUGUUUCAUUUAAAUUUUUUAUAGAAUUUUAUUUUUUAGUCAAAAAGCUAAAAUUUAUUUAAAAGACGAGAAGACCCUAUAAAUCUUUAUAUUUUUUUUAUUUUAAUUGUUAAGAUUAAUUUUAUUUUAAUAACAAAAAAUAUUUUAUUGGGGUGAUAUUAAAAUUUAAAAAACUUUUAAUUUUUAAAAACAUUAAUUUAUGAAUAAUUGAUCCAUUAAUAAUGAUUAAAAAAUUAAGUUACUUUAGGGAUAACAGCGUAAUUUUUUUGGAGAGUUCAUAUCGAUAAAAAAGAUUGCGACCUCGAUGUUGGAUUAAGAUAUAAUUUUGGGUGUAGCCGUUCAAAUUUUAAGUCUGUUCGACUUUUAAAUUCUUACAUGAUCUGAGUUCAAACCGGUGUAAGCCAGGUUGGUUUCUAUCUUUAAAAAAUUAUAAUAUUUUAGUACGAAAGGACCAAAUAUUAAAAUAAUUAUAUUUUUAAAAUGAAUAUCAUUAAUAUAA
RNAcentral lists this ribosomal RNA (618 nucleotides) under Drosophila ambigua. RNAcentral describes it as "partial 16S ribosomal RNA". It matches the Rfam family "Bacterial large subunit ribosomal RNA", at positions 1895 to 2779 of the family's 2925-position model. The record is from RNAcentral. Lineage: Eukaryota; Metazoa; Arthropoda; Insecta; Diptera; Drosophilidae.